AGGCGGCGGCUAGGAAGGCGGCUCUGGUGGCGGCGGUGGAGGCUGAGGCGGCGGCCGAGGCGGCGACGGAGGAAACAGAAGAUGGCAGAUUUUUUGAAAGGACUGCCUGUCUACAACAAAAGCAAUUUUAGUCGAUUUCACGCGGACUCCGUGUGCAAAGCCUCGAACCGACGGCCCUCAGUCUACCUGCCCACCCGAGAAUACCCGUCUGAACAGAGUAAGUGGCCGCUGUCAGUCUUUCCCAUUGUGGCUGCUGAGGGGCGGGGUUUGGUGACUGCAGCGUGGCACGAGGAGGUUAUCUUCAACCCCGGCCCAGGCCAUAGACUUGGCUUGGGUUCACACGCUGGCUCCUGAAUCCAGUUAAGUCGGGAAGGGCCUCCAGGGAGGUGCAGGAGGGGAAACUUGGGGGCUUCAGCCUGGGGAUGCACACGUGGAUGCCUGUCCACUCCCAGCCCCUGGGGACAGCCAGAAACAGCUUUCCCCAGGUAUCUCUUGAUUGGGACACACUGGGAUUCACAGCCAGCCCAAAGGGGCCCCCAAGUUGUCCCUCAUCUGCCA
This 558-nucleotide small RNA is filed under the name Pongo abelii (Sumatran orangutan). Its description in RNAcentral is "retained intron". Lineage: Eukaryota; Metazoa; Chordata; Mammalia; Primates; Hominidae. The record is from RNAcentral.